This is a long non-coding RNA of Melopsittacus undulatus (budgerigar), 540 nucleotides long. RefSeq lists it as uncharacterized. NCBI's taxonomy places the organism in Eukaryota, Metazoa, Chordata, Aves, Psittaciformes, Psittaculidae. The record is from RefSeq and is a predicted model, not a curated record. The transcript is spliced from 3 exons.
CCUCCUUCUCCUUUUCCAGUUCAGCAGCGCAGAUUUCUGUUUGUGCCAGUGGGGCGGCCUGGCGAGACCGCAAUUGCUCUACCCCACAGAUUGACGAGCCCUCAGAUGCCGAUUUACUGUACAUGGCAGCCACGCUGGAGCCGAGGCACAUCUGGAGUGGAAUCUCAGUGGGAAACGGCCAACAUUCCUAAUGAGCCACCAUGGCCACGUCUCAGCCUUCUCACCCAGGGAAGCACUGGGUAUCACCUUCCUAUGGCUGUUUAAAAACCACCUGAGGAGAAAUUCAGUAAGGAGAGGACUGAUUGAUUGCAUGGCAGAGGCUGUUGGUCAGCUUGGAAAGACUGAGCAUCUCCAAGAAUACAUUAUUGACAUUUGAAUGGUAUUUCAGCAGAAGAUUGUGACAGAUGUGAAACAGUCAAACACCAGCAUCUGCAGUAUUUUUGACCCCAGGAUAAACUGUUGUACUUUAAAAAAAUUAUCCUGUUGUACUUCCUUUGCUUGCUUUCAGUGUUUUGUUUUGCUAAAGCAAUAAAAGAUUCA